UAUUAAAUAAAUUAACAUUUUGCUUCAUAAAUCAAUUACUUAUUCAGCAGCAGAAAAUUGGGCUGAUACUUGACUGAUCUGAUUCGAGUUUCCUAGUCGGAGACCAGUUAAAAUCAUGAACCAAGCCCCUGAAGCCUAGGCCGGAAGGAAACAGACUCUACGUUUGAAAAUGCCUCCCGGCUCGCUCGCUCCUGGAAAAUUUAAAUGAUAAAGGAUAUUGUAAUAUAUCUGCAUAGUAUGGCAUAUGCUAUCUUUAUUCAAGUCGUUUUGGAGCGAUGAAUGUUGACUGCAGUACGUGUAUAGUGAAGGGCAACCAGCACGGCCAUGCAGCGAUCCUGCCAAUGAUUUAAUCGAGGCUACCACGCGCUGCGCGCGCCGAAUAAAGCUUUGAAUUUUUCAAUCCACGUGUUUCCCUGGUACUCAUCAAACGCCUAGCAUUGAUGUGCAUCCGCCAGGUACCAGCCGAUUUUCAGUCGGCCAUGUUUGAUUUUUCGCCGAAACUGGGAAUUUUGACACGUUUGGUCAUCCAAUUUUCGAGAACUUUUUACGCCGUAAAUGACUUUUAUGAGCCUUGCAAUUACAGUAAUUUGAUGAAUUAAUGGUCCGCCAACUUGAAGAGACUGACCUUUGUGAACCAUGCUGAGGCUGGAUUGGAUGGACCAGACCAGUGCCUGGACUAUCGUGAAUGACUGCCUGCUGAGGCUUUUCCCCAGCGACAUCAAAGCCAUUCACACCGUAGCCGAUGAUGCCCUGGCCUGGAUGUCUACCCUUGGCCUACAACUGUAGGCUGUGCACGCCAUACGAAAGAAGAAGUGCCUAGGCUAGGCAAGACACUGAGGACAGGCUGGAUGACCAUCAUCAUGGUGACUGGGAUGACCUUAAGGGUGAGUCAAAUCAAGAAUGCAACCUGCUCCAUCAAAACACAUCACAAUGUGCACCAAUGAACCUCAGAUUUCCCUUGUAAAUGAAAUUAUGUCAGUACAAGACCAUAAUUCUCUCACUUGAUUCUUGUGAAUUUGAUUUUUGUCCUCUUCUGAUUGAAAGAACUUUUGAUACUUUUACCUGUAGCAUCCUGGACAAUACAUUGUAAUUUGAAGAA
Molecule: long non-coding RNA, 1099 nt
Organism: Patiria miniata (bat star)
Lineage: Eukaryota; Metazoa; Echinodermata; Asteroidea; Valvatida; Asterinidae
Exons: 2
Source: RefSeq, a predicted model, not a curated record